UACGGAGGGAGGUAGCGUUGUUCGGGAUUACUGGGCGUAAAGCGCACGUAGGCGGAUUUUUAAGUCAGAGGUGAAAUCCCGGGGCUCAACCCCGGAACUGCCUUUGAAACUGGAGAGCUAGAAUCUGGGAGAGGUGAGUGGAAUUCCUAGUGUAGAGGUGAAAUUCGUAGAUAUUAGGAAGAACACCAGUGGCGAAGGCGGCUCGCUGGUCAGGUACUGACGCUGAGGUGCGAAAGCGUGGGGAGCAAACAUG
Molecule: ribosomal RNA, 253 nt
Filed under: uncultured bacterium
Lineage: Bacteria
Description: partial 16S ribosomal RNA
Rfam family: Bacterial small subunit ribosomal RNA
Source: RNAcentral